Molecule: ribosomal RNA, 314 nt
Filed under: uncultured bacterium
Lineage: Bacteria
Description: bacterial SSU rRNA
Rfam family: Bacterial small subunit ribosomal RNA
Source: RNAcentral
GAGGCAGCAGUGGGGAAUAUUGCGCAAUGGGCGAAAGCCUGACGCAGCGACGCCGCGUGAGGGAUGAAGGCCUUCGGGUUGUAAACCUCUUUCAGCAGGGAAGAAGCGAAAGUGACGGUACCUGCAGAAGAAGCACCGGCUAACUAUGUGCCAGCAGCCGCGGUAAUACAUAGGGUGCAAGCGUUGUCCGGAAUUAUUGGGCGUAAAGAGCUCGUAGGUGGUUUGUCACGUCGGAUGUGAAAAUCUGGGGCUCAACCCCGGACCUGCAUUCGAUACGGGCAAACUAGAGUAUGGUAGGGGAGACUGGAAUUCCU